Molecule: ribosomal RNA, 479 nt
Filed under: uncultured bacterium
Lineage: Bacteria
Description: bacterial SSU rRNA
Rfam family: Bacterial small subunit ribosomal RNA
Source: RNAcentral
ACGCUGGCGGCGUGCUUAGCACAUGCAAGUCGAACGGGGUUAUUUCAGAAGCUACGAAUAGUUUACUAUGAAGAGUGGAAGGAAUAACUCAGUGGCGGACGGGUGAGUAACGCGUGAGGACCUGUCCAUUGCAGGGGGACAACAGUUGGAAACGGCUGCUAAUACCGCAUAGGCCCGUGAGGGUGAAAGGAUGGUAACAUCCGGCAAUGGAGGGACUCGCGUCCUAUCAGCUAGUAGGUGAAGGUAAAGGCUCACCUAGCGAUGACGGGUAGCCGGCCUGAGAGGGCGCACGGCACACUGGGACUGAGAUACGGCCCAGACUCCUACGGGAGGCAGCAGUGGGGAAUAUUGGGCAAUGGGCGCAAGCCUGACCCAGCGACGCCGCGUGGAUGAAGAAGUCUUUCGGGACGUAAAAUCCUUUUGUACGGGAAGAAGGACGUGACGGUACCGUACGAAUAAGCCCCGGGACGUACAGCUCU